CCAAUAGCGUAUAUUAAAGUUGUUGCAGUUAAAAAGCUCGUAGUUGAAUUUCGGGGUCAGUAGGUCGGUCGUGCCACUGGUAUGAACUGGUUUUACUGAUUCCUCCCUCUUGAAGAACUGUAAUGCCAUUAAUUUGGUGUUGCAGGGAAUCAGGACUGUUACUUUGAAAAAAUUAGAGUGUUUAAAGCAGGCUUUAGCUUGAAUACAUUAGCAUGGAAUAAUGAAAUAGGACGUUUGAUCCUAUUUUGUUGGUUUCUAGGAUUGACGUAAUGAUUAAUAGGGAUAGUUGGGGGCAUUAGUAUUCAAUUGUCAGAGGUGAAAUUCUUGGAUUUAUUGAAGACUAACUACUGCGAAAGCAUUUGCCAAGGAUGUUUUCAUUAAUCAAGAACGAAAGUUAGGGGAUCGAAGACGAUCAGAUACCGUCGUAGUCUUAACCAUAAACUAUGCCGACUAGGGAUCGGAUGAUGUUAAUUGUUUAAUGACUCAUUCGGCGCCUUACG
RNAcentral lists this unclassified non-coding RNA (500 nucleotides) under uncultured Glomus. Its description in RNAcentral is "SSU rRNA". It matches the Rfam family "Eukaryotic small subunit ribosomal RNA", at positions 591 to 1092 of the family's 1831-position model. The record is from RNAcentral. Lineage: Eukaryota; Fungi; Glomeromycota; Glomeromycetes; Glomerales; Glomeraceae.